CGUGACGUAGCUCAAAUGGAUAGAGCACCCGCUUUCGACGUCUCGUAGUUCCUAUGCAGUUCUACUUUAGGGGCGGGAGGUUGCAGGUUCAAGUCCUGUCGUUGCGCCCA
RNAcentral lists this transfer RNA (110 nucleotides) under Rhodospirillaceae bacterium. RNAcentral describes it as "tRNA-OTHER". It matches the Rfam family "tRNA". Rfam says of the family: Transfer RNA (tRNA) molecules are approximately 80 nucleotides in length. Their secondary structure includes four short double-helical elements and three loops (D, anti-codon, and T loops). Lineage: Bacteria; Pseudomonadati; Pseudomonadota; Alphaproteobacteria; Rhodospirillales; Rhodospirillaceae. The record is from RNAcentral.